GCUCCGGCCAAGAUGAGUCUCAGGUGCCAUCUGGUGUGGAAGCCAGUGACUACAUAGCUGCAAAGGAAAAGAAAAAAGAGCUUGCUGAUCCCUGAUCUACAGGCCACAUUCUAUGCUGCAUGCUUGAAGAAAGUGGACACUCAGUCUGAACACAAGACAUUGGAAGAGCUAUAUAAUAAGUGAUAGCUACAUUUCAGCAUCACAAAUAAGAAUAAUGGCCUUUCGCUGUGACAUUCUGGAAGAUCAGAGUAAACUCUACAGUCUAGGUAGUGACUUCCUCUACUGAGACUAAAAGAAAACUCUUCUGCAUCUUCCUUCUGAAUCCAGGUUCACUUGACUGAAUAUAGACAGAAGAAGACUCAUGGGUUCGUGCUGUGUAUGACUAAA
Zalophus californianus (California sea lion) is the source of this 387-nucleotide long non-coding RNA. RefSeq lists it as uncharacterized. NCBI's taxonomy places the organism in Eukaryota, Metazoa, Chordata, Mammalia, Carnivora, Otariidae. The transcript has 4 exons. The record is from RefSeq and is a predicted model, not a curated record.